CCCAUUCGGCCAUUCAUUCAUCUGAAUUCUGAAGCGAAGGAACCCUAGCCCUCUGAACUGAAGCAAAGGAACCCCGAACCCUAGCCCUCAUCGUCGCCGCCGUUCUGAGGUCGUCAGCGCUGCCGCCGUCCUCAGCACUGCCGUUUCUUCCUCUUUCCCGCUUCUUCCUCGAACCCAGGCAGAAUUUGGGUUCUGGCUCUGCUGUGCUGCUGCUGCUUUGUGUUUUUGUAAAAUUUGUAGAUGAUAGUUUGAUUAUUCAGCUCAGGGUUGUGUGUUUUGUGUUUUGUGUUUUGUGUUUUAGAUUACAUAGAAAAAAAAAACCAAUUACUUGAAACACUUGCACACAAACAUGCCCAGAAAAAACAACUGCAAUAUUGAACGAAUUGUUGUUGUGUUAUGUAAUUUUGUGACUUAAUUAUGCUCAGAUUUUGUUACAAAAUCUCUCCUACUCAUCCCUUUUGUCCUCAUCAGAAUGCAUAACAUGUUGCCUGUACAUAGUGUUUUUAGUCCUCUAACCUGAGUGCCUAGCUUUGGCACUGGUUCCCUAAAUAGAGUAUUUGGUGAUCAAUUUGUAUGUGUGGAAUUUGAGCCACCUUGUACCAUUCCUCCCCACUAUUUGGUUUAAAAGUCUUGGAGUCAGCAAAGGGCAUUCUUGGACACAAAGUUGAUUAAGGGAGGAAGGAAGUUCUUCAUCAGGCAAGGAAUAAAGGACGUCACAGCAAUGAAUUUCAAGUGUAUGAAGAGCAUUCAGAUAUUGGAACCUCUGUAGUUUAGCUUCUUGAGACACUUCAAUGUGCUUAUGGGCAGUGAGUGAGCUUAUAUUGGGAGGAAGUAUCAUGUCCUCUGAAAAUGAAUCCACCAUCGGCAUGAUUUCUAAAUCAAAAUCCCAACUCUCUCAGCGAAUUGAAUCGAAUCAACCAGGCCUUCCUCUUCUUUUUCUUUUAGUUGAUUCUUAAUUUUUCUAAUAGAUGUAACUUUCUGAAUCAAGUGGAUCAGAUCAUGUACCUUUUUUAUUUGGGAUAUUUUAGGAGACGCAUUAGAAGAGCUAUUUUGUUAUUAUGUUUGCUAUAAUAAUAUUCACAUGUUGUAUA
Long non-coding RNA from Arachis stenosperma, 1091 nucleotides. RefSeq lists it as uncharacterized. The transcript is spliced from 2 exons. The record is from RefSeq and is a predicted model, not a curated record. NCBI's taxonomy places the organism in Eukaryota, Viridiplantae, Streptophyta, Magnoliopsida, Fabales, Fabaceae.